Phycomyces blakesleeanus NRRL 1555(-) is the source of this 72-nucleotide transfer RNA. It matches the Rfam family "tRNA". Rfam says of the family: Transfer RNA (tRNA) molecules are approximately 80 nucleotides in length. Their secondary structure includes four short double-helical elements and three loops (D, anti-codon, and T loops). The record is from Rfam. Lineage: Eukaryota; Fungi; Mucoromycota; Mucoromycetes; Mucorales; Phycomycetaceae.
GGGGAUGUGAUGUAGUGGUAUCAUAUUCGCUUUGCAUGCGAAAGGCCCCGGGUUCGAACCCCGGCGUCUCCA